CAGUAAUGCAAAGGUUUUGCUUCAGUAGU
RNAcentral lists this non-coding RNA (29 nucleotides) under Rattus norvegicus (Norway rat). Lineage: Eukaryota; Metazoa; Chordata; Mammalia; Rodentia; Muridae. The record is from RNAcentral.